This 371-nucleotide ribosomal RNA is filed under the name uncultured bacterium. RNAcentral's name for it is "bacterial SSU rRNA". It matches the Rfam family "Bacterial small subunit ribosomal RNA", at positions 527 to 896 of the family's 1533-position model. The record is from RNAcentral.
GUAGGGGGCAAGCGUUGUCCGGAUUUAUUGGGCGUAAAGAGCGUGUAGGCGGCCAGUUAGGUCCGUUGUGAAAACUCGAGGCUCAACCUCGAGACGCCGAUGGAAACCAACUGGCUAGAGUCCGGAAGAGGAGAGUGGAAUUCCCGGUGUAGCGGUGAAAUGCGCAGAUAUCGGGAAGAACACCCGUGGCUAAGGCGGCUCUCUAGUACGGUACUGACGCUGAGACGCGAAAGCGUGGGGAGCGAACAGGAUUAGAUACCCUGGUAGUCCACGCCGUAAACGAUGGGUGCUAGGUGUGGGGGGUGUCGACUCCCUCCGUGCCGAAGCUAACGCAUUAAGCACCCCGCCUGGGGAGUACGGCCGCAAGGCUA